CGUUAGCUCAGCUGGUAGAGCAACUGACUCUUAAUCAGUGGGUCACAGGUUCGAUCCCUGCAC
This 63-nucleotide transfer RNA is filed under the name bovine gut metagenome. It matches the Rfam family "tRNA", at positions 6 to 65 of the family's 71-position model. Rfam says of the family: Transfer RNA (tRNA) molecules are approximately 80 nucleotides in length. Their secondary structure includes four short double-helical elements and three loops (D, anti-codon, and T loops). Further hydrogen bonds mediate the characteristic L-shaped molecular structure. tRNAs have two regions of fundamental functional importance: the anti-codon, which is responsible for specific mRNA codon recognition, and the 3' end, to which the tRNAs corresponding amino acid is attached (by aminoacyl-tRNA synthetases). tRNAs cope with the degeneracy of the genetic code in two manners: having more than one tRNA (with a specific anti-codon) for a particular amino acid; and 'wobble' base-pairing, i.e. permitting non-standard base-pairing at the 3rd anti-codon position. The record is from RNAcentral.